Molecule: long non-coding RNA, 1110 nt
Filed under: Equus caballus (horse)
Lineage: Eukaryota; Metazoa; Chordata; Mammalia; Perissodactyla; Equidae
Description: lncRNA (ENSECAG00000055777.1)
Source: RNAcentral
AUCUUGGUUUCCCAUGGUAACUGCUUUUUAUUAUGACAACUGACAAAGCCCCAGCUUCACAGAGAUGUGAAGUCAUGGAAAGAAUGCAGUGUGAAUUAGUUUUGAAACUGUGAGCUCUCCCAAGUUCGUAGCUUACACAACGCCUGAACAGAUAUUGAGUCUAGCUGCUUCCCUUGAAUCUUGAUGUCUCCCCCAGUGUCUUCAUGACUCCUCUUCAGCAACCUGGGGUGCCUCCAGCAUUUUCUUCCUGCCGGCUCUGAUGCAAACAGCUCUUCCAGGCUCCACGUUACCCCCAUCAGUUCAAUCCUCUGCACUCAUGCAGAACUCAGGGGUAUGAGGGAAACGCCCGAGAGUCAUUUGGCUGUGGGCUGAAACUCUGCUUAAAGACAGAAAGGCCUCUCCUUCCCUGCUCAUCGCUUUAUGGUCAUUUACGCAUUGCCUCGCAUCGCUUAACAACGGGGAGACGGUCUGAGAAACAUGUCAGCAGUGCCAGAGCAGGCCCUGCUCGAGGUCCUGCUGGAGCCCUGUCUCCGGGCCCGGCCGCAGCAGGUGGAAAGGGAGUGGAGUCACUCUUAGCUGAAGCAGGAAGAGAACAACACCACGUGGGUAUUGCUAUCAUCCUCAUUCGGCAGAACCAGGAACGAGCGACAGAGGCUCCGUGUUACUGAAUCUUUGCUACGUGCCGGUCAUCACACUAAGAAAAUAACUUGCAAUAUCUCAUCUAAUCCUGAUGCGACCUGGUGACUUAUAUAUUACUAUCCUUUUACCAAUGAGGAAACUGAGGCUUGGAGAGCUCGAGGAGCAAGUCCAAAGUGGAACAGCCCGCGUGUGUGGAGCUGGGGCUUUGAGGCCAGGCCCGUGUCCUGCGAGGCCUCCCCAGACCCCGGACACAACACGAGUCGCAGAUGCUCAUGGUCCUCCGUGCAAACCCUGGGAGGAGAAGGUGACCACGGAUAGGACUCGUGUGCCACCUGAACAGUUGUUCCCAAAUUCCUCCUGUCUCUCUCCCUGGCUGUGUAGUCCCCACCUUUCAUGUUAGGUGUAGGAUCCCUCACUUUCUACGACCUCAGAACCUCCUGAAAAUGAAAAUGAUAAACCAACAAGCUUACC